AACAUCCGUGCCAUGAGGAACAAAAAGGACGCACCUGUGGACCAUCUGGGGACUGAGCACUGCUAUGACUCCAGUGCCCCCCCAAAGGUACGCAGGUACCAGGUGCUGCUGUCACUGAUGCUCUCCAGCCAAACCAAAGACCAGGUGACGGCGGGUGCCAUGCAGCGACUGCGGGCGCGGGGCCUGACGGUGGACAGCAUCCUGCAGACAGAUGAUGCCACGCUGGGCAAGCUUAUCUACCCCGUUGGUUUCUGGAGGAGCAAGGUGAAAUACAUCAAGCAGACCAGCGCCAUCCUGCAGCAGCGCUACGGUGGGGACAUCCCAGCCUCCGUGGCCGAGCUGGUGGCGCUGCCGGGUGUUGGGCCCAAGAUGGCACACCUGGCUAUGGCUGUGGCCUGGGGCACUGUGUCGGGCAUUGGUGAGUGGCGCACACGUGCAGGAGGGCGGGGCUGGCUCCAGCUCACUGGCUGCUCUUGGGAUUCCCCACAUCCUUGUGACCUGUGGCUCCACUU
RNAcentral lists this small RNA (512 nucleotides) under Pongo abelii (Sumatran orangutan). RNAcentral describes it as "retained intron". The record is from RNAcentral. Lineage: Eukaryota; Metazoa; Chordata; Mammalia; Primates; Hominidae.